RNAcentral lists this ribosomal RNA (253 nucleotides) under uncultured bacterium. Its description in RNAcentral is "partial 16S ribosomal RNA". It matches the Rfam family "Bacterial small subunit ribosomal RNA", at positions 524 to 776 of the family's 1533-position model. The record is from RNAcentral.
UACGGAGGGAGCUAGCGUUGUUCGGAAAUACUGGGCGUAAAGCGCACGUAGGCGGCGCAGCAAGUCAGGGGUGAAAUCCCGGGGCUCAACCCCGGAACUGCCCUUGAAACUGCAGUGCUGGAAUCUUGGAGAGGCGAGUGGAAUUCCGAGUGUAGAGGUGAAAUUCGUAGAUAUUCGGAAGAACACCAGUGGCGAAGGCGACUCGCUGGACAAGUAUUGACGCUGAGGUGCGAAAGCGUGGGGAGCAAACAGG